CCUACGGGGGGCAGCAGUGGGGAAUAUUGCACAAUGGGGGAACCCCUGAUGCAGCGACGCCGCGUGAGUGAAGAAUUAUUUCGGUAUGUAAAGCUCUAUCAGCAGGGAAGAAAAUGACGGUACCUGAUUAAGAAGCCCCGGCUAACUACGUGCCAGCAGCCGCGGUAAUACGUAGGGGGCAAGCGUUAUACGGCUUUACUGGGGGUAAAGGGAGCGUAGACGGCCGCGCAAGUCUCAAGUGAAAUGCCGGGGCUUAACCCCGGAACUGCUUUGGAAACUGUGCAGCGAGAGUGCAGGAGAGGUAAGUGGAAUGCCUAGUGUAGCGGUGAAAUGCGUAGAUAGUAGGAGGAACACCAGUGGCGAAGGCGGCUUACUGGACUGUAACUGACGUUGAGGCUCGAAAGCGUGGGGAGCAAACAGGAUUAGAUACCCGGGUAGUC
Molecule: ribosomal RNA, 440 nt
Filed under: uncultured bacterium
Lineage: Bacteria
Description: partial 16S ribosomal RNA
Rfam family: Bacterial small subunit ribosomal RNA
Source: RNAcentral